RNAcentral lists this ribosomal RNA (423 nucleotides) under uncultured bacterium. Its description in RNAcentral is "bacterial SSU rRNA". It matches the Rfam family "Bacterial small subunit ribosomal RNA", at positions 207 to 622 of the family's 1533-position model. The record is from RNAcentral.
AAGACCUUGCACUUUUGGAGCGGCCGAUGUCUGAUUAGCUAGUUGGUGGGGUAAUGGCCUACCAAAGCUUCGAUCAGUAGCUGGUCUGAGAGGACGGCCAGCCACACUGGGACUGAGACACGGCCCAGACUCCUACGGGAGGCAGCAGUGGGGAAUUUUGGACAAUGGGCGCAAGCCUGAUCCAGCCAUGCCGCGUGAGUGAAGAAGGCCUUCGGGUUGUAAAGCUCUUUCAGCCGGAACGAAACGGUUACGGAUAACACCCGUGACUACUGACGGUACCGGAAGAAGAAGCACCGGCUAACUACGUGCCAGCAGCCGCGGUAAUACGUAGGGUGCGAGCGUUAAUCGGAAUUACUGGGCGUAAAGCGUGCGCAGGUGGUUUUGUAAGUCAGAUGUGAAAGCCCCGGGCUCAACCUGGGAACU